This 253-nucleotide ribosomal RNA is filed under the name uncultured bacterium. RNAcentral's name for it is "partial 16S ribosomal RNA". It matches the Rfam family "Bacterial small subunit ribosomal RNA", at positions 524 to 776 of the family's 1533-position model. The record is from RNAcentral.
UACGGAGGGUGCGAGCAUUAAUCGGAAUUACUGGGCGUAAAGCGCACGCAGGCGGUUUGUUAAGCUAGAUGUGAAAGCCCCGGGCUCAACCUGGGAUGGUCAUUUAGAACUGGCAGACUAGAGUCUUGGAGAGGGGAGUGGAAUUCCAGGUGUAGCGGUGAAAUGCGUAGAUAUCUGGAGGAACAUCAGUGGCGAAGGCGACUCCCUGGCCAAAGACUGACGCUCAUGUGCGAAAGUGUGGGUAGCGAACAGC